Molecule: long non-coding RNA, 555 nt
Filed under: Malus domestica (apple)
Lineage: Eukaryota; Viridiplantae; Streptophyta; Magnoliopsida; Rosales; Rosaceae
Description: long non-coding RNA (MDOM_LNC018941)
Source: RNAcentral
AUUGUUUUCUAAAGUCGUUGCAUGAUCUCAUUAUUCUUUACUUGGUUGCUACUUAGAAGGCGUUUCAUCAUUUAGUUCCAAAUGCUAGAACUCAUGCCUAUUUCAUUCAAAGCAUGUUAUUGAUUUGCACAACACAUAUUCAAGAUGAAGUUGUUUAGUGAUCCAAGAGCCAAAAAGCCUAUCCCAUUCAUUAUGUGUUUAAGUUUAAACGCCGUUGAGCCUUGUUUAAGCCUACGUUCUUUUGUUAACCCACACUAUCCUCACCUAGCCUAGAUUAGGACCAUCCAUACCCUUGUUCUUGAAGCAUAGUAAAGCAUGACUCAAAUUGAAUUCCUUUUGAUUAAUGUAUUGCAGAAAACAAGUGUGGGGGAAGUGAUUCUUGUGUGUGUGUGUGCCAAAGUCCUUAAUAAGGCACGGGUCGAAAAAAAAAAAAAAAAAGUUGUGAAAAAUGUAUGAAAAAGAGUUCUAAAGUGUUGUUUGUUGAAGAAAGGGUCCAAAACAUUGAAUUCGGCCCUAAGUAUUGCUCAAAUCUUCCCUUUGUGUUAAAAGUUGAUU